Molecule: ribosomal RNA, 733 nt
Filed under: uncultured bacterium
Lineage: Bacteria
Description: bacterial SSU rRNA
Rfam family: Bacterial small subunit ribosomal RNA
Source: RNAcentral
AGAGUUUGAUCCUGGCUCAGAUUGAACGCUGGCGGCAUGCCUUACACAUGCAAGUCGAACGGUAACAGCACUUCGGUGGCUGACGAGUGGCGGACGGGUGAGUAAUACAUCGGAACGUGCCCGAUCGUGGGGGAUAACUACUCGAAAGAGUGGCUAAUACCGCAUACGAUCUACGGAUGAAAGCGGGGGAUCGCAAGACCUCGCGCGGACGGAGCGGCCGAUGGCAGAUUAGGUAGUUGGUGGGAUAAAAGCUUACCAAGCCGACGAUCUGUAGCUGGUCUGAGAGGACGACCAGCCACACUGGGACUGAGACACGGCCCAGACUCCUACGGGAGGCAGCAGUGGGGAAUUUUGGACAAUGGGGGAAACCCUGAUCCAGCCAUGCCGCGUGCAGGAUGAAGGCCUUCGGGUUGUAAACUGCUUUUGUACGGAACGAAAAGACUCUUUCUAAUACAGAGGGUCCAUGACGGUACCGUAAGAAUAAGCACCGGCUAACUACGUGCCAGCAGCCGCGGUAAUACGUAGGGUGCAAGCGUUAAUCGGAAUUACUGGGCGUAAAGCGUGCGCAGGCGGUUAUAUAAGACAGAUGUGAAAUCCCCGGGCUCAACCUGGGAACUGCAUUAGUGACUGUAUAGCUGGAGUGCGGCAGAGGGGGAUGGAAUUCCGCGUGUAGCAGUGAAAUGCGUAGAUAUGCGGAGGAACACCGAUGGCGAAGGCAAUCCCCUGGGCCUGC